Molecule: ribosomal RNA, 490 nt
Filed under: uncultured bacterium
Lineage: Bacteria
Description: partial 16S ribosomal RNA
Rfam family: Bacterial small subunit ribosomal RNA
Source: RNAcentral
AGUGGACGCUGGCGGUAGGCCUAACACAUGCAAGUCGAACGGCAGCACAGGAGAGCUUGCUCUCUGGGUGGCGAGUGGCGGACGGGUGAGGAAUACAUCGGAAUCUGCCCAGUCGUGGGGGAUAACGUAGGGAAACUUACGCUAAUACCGCAUACGACCUUCGGGUGAAAGAGGGGGAUCGCAAGACCUCUCGCGAUUGGAUGAGCCGAUGUCGGAUUAGCUAGUUGGCGGGGUAAUGGCCCACCAAGGCGACGAUCCGUAGCUGGUCUGAGAGGAUGAUCAGCCACACUGGAACUGAGACACGGUCCAGACUCCUACGGGAGGCAGCAGUGGGGAAUAUUGGACAAAGGGCGCAAGCCUGAUCCAGCCAUACCGCGUGGGUGAAGAAGGCCUUCGGGUUGUAAAGCCCUUUUGUUGGGAAAGAAAUCUUUCAGGCUAAUACCCUGGGAGGAUGACGGUACCCAAAGAAUAAGCACCGGCUAACUUCGUG